Molecule: long non-coding RNA, 1297 nt
Organism: Dermochelys coriacea (leatherback sea turtle)
Lineage: Eukaryota; Metazoa; Chordata; Testudines; Dermochelyidae
Exons: 3
Source: RefSeq, a predicted model, not a curated record
CUUGCUCAUUCUGAGGCUGAUAUACUUGUCUUCUACUCUUCUGAGAUUGUGUUGCUGGCUGGUUGUUCCCCUGGCUGCUGCUGUGGGGAGAACCCUGCUGGUGUAUCCCUCAGAGGGUAGUGCAAGGCCCCACUUUUUCUAUCAUUUUUGGGGCCUCUUCUGGCUACCCUUGCUGCUGCCACUAGAGAGCUUGUUGUUGCUGCUGGAGCUCAGGAGGGAGUGGAGGAGACCUUGUUCUGUGGAAGGGGUUGUCGGCAAUGUUCACCCUCCAGGCCCUUUUGCUCGCAGUCUGAUGCAGCAUUGGCUUGCCGGAUCUCAUUGAGCAUGUGUCACAGUUGCACAGGAUCGGUGCUACGUGCUCAUCUUUGGAACAGUCUGCAGGAGGAACCCCUUCAGUGUGCCAGACCCCCUAUGAGUCUCACUUUUCCUCAAGGGUGGUGGUGAUUUUAGCCGAUAUCUCACCCCUAAGGGUAACAGAAGCACAGAGAGCACAACUACUGCUGGCAUCCCAAAGCCCUCCAUUGCAAUGGUGCCUGACGAAGGGAUAGUGUUCUACGAUGGAGGAAGAAAUAAGGCUGCCAUCCCUAGAAACCUUUGGGGGAGGAUUGCCAAGUAAUGAAAGUUUCAUCGAGAUCUCUCAGGGGGCUGCAAGGGACAUCCCUGUGCACAUAAACAAAAUGCUCCACCUGGCCUUCCUUAUCUAAUUCUACAGAGGAAUGAAAAGCAGAUAACUCCACCUCUCUUCGUUGUACCGCUAUCUCAUUUAGUACAAGUAAAAUAAUGAAAAGUUGAUGGCUGUGUCCUGUUAAGUUGGGGGUGCAAUCAGUACAUACAUCGUUGAAAUGAUGCAAUUGAAAUACAGUUACACACUUACCCAAGUUUCCUUCCCCUGCAUCGGGCUCACCUGUGCUCAAUUGCUGGGACUGACUGGAUUGUGGUGGAGUCUCAAAAAGGUCCUGGCUCAUGGCAUAGCUGGACCCCCAUCCUCCUCCUGUUUCUCCUCCACCUCCUCCUCAUCAUCCUUGUUGUUCACACCAAGGGCUUGUGGCUCAGGCUUCUCAGAGGUAUCCAGGGUGGUUUGCGGGGCGGGGUGCAGUCUCUGGCAAAUAGUGCGUGCAGUUUUUUGUAAAAGCCACGGGUCUGUGACUCAGCACCAGAUUGACCGUUCACCUCCCUGGCCUUCUGAUGGCUGCCACAGUUCCUGCACUUUCAUGCAGCACUGCUGCUGGUCCCUGCCAUACCCCUUCUCCUUACCUCUAUCCCCAGUGCAAUUUGCUUGCAGAUGUCCAUGUUUCUA